Molecule: long non-coding RNA, 2852 nt
Organism: Oncorhynchus tshawytscha (Chinook salmon)
Lineage: Eukaryota; Metazoa; Chordata; Actinopteri; Salmoniformes; Salmonidae
Source: Ensembl
GGAAAUAUAGGUUUUUCAAACACUAACGCUUGUGCUCUAUUUUUGUUGAGCUGCCUUUUUUCCAAGCUGUUUUUUUUCGUUGGCGUCUUAAUUGUAUUUUGUAGCCUGAAUGUUUCUUUUUGGAUUCCAAAGACUGAAGCUGUCGCUCCCUGCUGAGCCCAGUCCACCAGUAGCUCUAUUUGCCAAUCUGUUAAUCAAGGACAUUUCUAAUGACUGCCUGUUAGCAGCAUUGCAUUAUUAUAUGCACUUGAGGGAGUCCAUUUGAGUGCUGGUUUAUUAUAAUAGCUGUCUGAACUCCUUUUCCCAGCCUUAAUUCCACACUACGUGGAGGCUCCAGCCAGUCCAUUCAGACUUGGGGCUGCUCGCUGUGCGUAAUUCGUUCACUUUCAGCUUUUAAAAAAUGAAUCAAUUUCUCCACAAAUUUCAACGUCUCCCUUUCGGGAUCAAACGCGCUCCAAAAUCUGUUAACUGUAAGGACAUAACACAGUUAACGCCUGUAGCCACAUUGUACCUCCAUGUCUUUCUGUCAGUGUUGCCUUCAUAUUAAUACUGUCAAUGUUUUAUGGCAUUUAACAUGAGACCGGCUACACAUGGAAAGCUUUUUAGAAGCUGAUUAAGUUAGGAAAGGUUAGAGGCUAAGCUUUACCAUUGACCACAAUGCAACCUAUGUAGGAGUUUGUCCGCUCGCUUGAUCUCUCGCUUUGCCUUUGUUGUAACUGAGCAUGCUUCGUUUAGAGAACUCUGACUCGUAAAUUGACAGUAGUAGUCCCAGUUUUGGUGGGACAUCGGUGUACAAAAAGUGGCUAGGUUGACAGGCGUGUAUUUCCUUGCAUACCUCGAACAAAGCUCACCAAAUUGCUGCUUUGUGCAACUCUGGCUCGAGUUGUCUUAUAGUGAGCCACUUCAGGCCAGUAACUUUAUUUGUUAUGUUUUUGGUUUGUAAUCCAUUUUUCCUCGUACUCUGUUGACUUGAUCUUGUAAGGCCGUCGCAGAAUCUCGCCAACCCUUACCCUGCCCGGGCUGUGAAGUGAAACAAUAACUUUGCCAACACAUUGCACUUCAACUGUGACAGAGGCACUGACUUAACAUGGGGAAACAACUUUCUACUCCUUGUAAACCCAAUGGGUUCCUAUGUGUAAAAACCACAAGUACAGAUACUGUUUAAGCUCCCUUAGGAAUUGUGGCCCCCCCCCCCAGCAAAGUGCACUUCUGCUCGACCUUCCCCCAAAGUGUGUUAGGGACGUUCAGAGUGCAGGGACCACUCUGGAGGCCAACACUCUCCUCCACCUCCUUGCAGCCUGGGUUUUGCCAGCUAAUUCAGGUAUACAGUUUUGGUUCAGCUCUCGCUGUCCUACUAUCCUGGCUAGCCUUAGGGUGAGGCACAGGGUCAUGCUGAAUUCUGCUGCCGUGUCUUUAAUGAAUGUAUAUAUACAAAAAACGGAAUAGUGGUGAUUUCUGAUAUCAACCACUUGUUUUCUUUAGUUAUACUUUUUUUUUUUUUUAAACACAGACCGGACUGAAAGAUGAUCUCACAGGACAGUUUUUCAUUUCAGAGGGGGAAAUGAUUUGAGGGACAGCAUUCUAAAUUAACAUUGAAAGGUCACACUGAAUGAACUCAGACUUCAAAGAUGGCUUUGGUAAUCCUUUUACUUAAUCCCAAAGGCUUCUGACUCCUACAGAUCCACAGCAGUGACGUGUCUGAUGUUUUUACAACAACCCAUUAGUCAAGUGUUUUUAAAUGGCAAGACUCUUGUUGUUUUUCUUGGACUUCAUAAUACCACGCCACACCAGUGGCCCUUGUCCUUCACUUGUAAUUAUGAUAGAUCUUUAUCAAAAUAUUAACACGUACUUCAGUAUCUAUACAAUAUACAGAAUGGACAAACUUAGUUACAGUAGCAAACAGCAGGUUUAUAAUGGUUAAUAGCAGUGUUCAAUGUACUCUAAUGGUUUUGUGUUACAGUAUCAGUUUAGAAUAACUAAUGUACGGUUUCGUAUAUUGAUAUCCAGUACCAGGUGUCCUGCGCCUGUGUAUGUUCCUUUUGGCAGGAGCUUUGCAGUUUUCUUUUCUUUUUUUCUUCUCAAAAAUAAACAGUAUUUAUGUAAUGAUGCAUAAAGUGGUUCUGAACUUCUUGAGGUCAGCCAUUUUAUUUUGUGUUUUGAUUGUUGUAGUGAAUGUUUUUAUUCUUUGUACAUUUUUUACAGGGAUUUUAGACUACCUACUUGAUUGUGGUAUGAUUGAGUUUGUGGAGACCAGGAAAAAACAAAUCCCACCCAAAUGUUAUUUUUCCCUUCCAUGUCUCCCUCACCACCCCUCUUCGGAAGCUUUGGUUGUACUAUUUUAUAGAAAGUGAUGAUGAAAAUAAGUUUUAUUUAUUUAUUUUGUGUAUUGGAACGUCCAUGAAUUUAUUUACAGGUCAAGGUAGUUGCUGGAACCUGCUUGAAAGAAGUUGUGGGGGUAGAAAUACUGAACUGUAUUUGUAAUUUUAUAAUUGUUCCUUGUGUAUAGAGCUUAUCAGCCUGAGAUGAGAAGUGGCAUCAAGGGGAGUUGGCAGUAGGACUUGGAAAUGGUUAAACGGCUCUUCCUAUGCCUUGAAUAUACCUUUGUCUUGUUAACACUUCCUCAUGAGAAUAAUGAUAUUUUUUUCCCUGUUAGUUGUACAUCAGUGUUCUCUCAUGUGUCACAGAAAUGAAGGAAAGUUGAACCACAUGAGUAAACCACAAACUACGUAAGGUUGAAUGUAUAAUUGGGAAACACAAUUGUACAUAUCUGUAAAAAGAGAAGUUUCUAAUCAUGUUUAUUUUCUAUGCACUUUUUUUAUUUAAGUGAUAGUUUAAAUAAUAAACAUGUCUCG